This is a non-coding RNA of Streptomyces atratus, 139 nucleotides long. Lineage: Bacteria; Bacillati; Actinomycetota; Actinomycetes; Kitasatosporales; Streptomycetaceae. The record is from Rfam.
UACGCGGUCUGACAGAAUGGCCUCCGAAAACUCAGGCGACGCGCGUCAGGAAACCGGUGUGAAUCCGGUACGGUCCCGCCACUGUGACCGGGCUGCAGCAGCCCGGAAGCCAGAUACUGGCCGCGCCGCCUUCUCGUAC